UUCGAUUUCUUCAUCAUCUUCAUUAUUGUCCAGGCAACGCACGGAACAUGCUACAUAAGAGUUUUUACAGUAUAUUACUAUUCAAGAAAAUUUCAAAGAAAGCCAUUCAGACUUGUAACAAAAUACAGACACAUCCCUUCAAGUUUAAAAAAUCACAACAUUCUCUCCUAAUAACAUAUAAAAUGCAUCUAAUAAGCUUAAGCCGUAGCAAGGUUGCAUAGAUAAAUCGAGCAUCCUUGAGAAUCAAGCAGCAAAUCUAUUUAUCAGUCACCUACAGCUUAACAUCACAUAUCUAUACUGGGCAUCAAAAUUAGAGUUCCAAUGUGAUUUAAGACUACAUUCAAGUUUGUUAUACUUACCAAUUAGAAAGUUUUUAAAGGAGCCGCAGUCUGUCAUCAGCAAGAAAUUAUAGCAAUCAACAGGAAAGUAAAAGCAGCAUCAACAGCUACUGCAUCAUCAUAAAACAG
Molecule: long non-coding RNA, 467 nt
Filed under: Olea europaea subsp. europaea
Lineage: Eukaryota; Viridiplantae; Streptophyta; Magnoliopsida; Lamiales; Oleaceae
Source: RNAcentral